GUCUACGGCCAUAUCACGUUGAACACACCGGUUCUCGUCCGAUAACCGAAGUUAAGCAACGUCGAGACCUGUUAGUACUUGGAUGGGUGACCGCCUGGGAAUACCGGGUGCUGUAGGCU
RNAcentral lists this ribosomal RNA (119 nucleotides) under Helobdella robusta. The record is from RNAcentral. Lineage: Eukaryota; Metazoa; Annelida; Clitellata; Rhynchobdellida; Glossiphoniidae.